UACGUAGGGUGCGAGCGUUAAUCGGAAUUACUGGGCGUAAAGCGUGCGCAGGCGGUUUUGUAAGCCAGAUGUGAAAUCCCCGGGCUUAACCUGGGAAUGGCAUUUGGGACUGCAAGGCUCGAGUGCGGCAGAGGAGACUGGAAUUCCUGGUGUAGCAGUGAAAUGCGUAGAUAUGCAGAGGAACACCGAUGGCGAAGGCAAUCCCCUGGGCCUGCACUGACGCUCAUGCACGAAAGCGUGGGGAGCAAACAGG
Molecule: ribosomal RNA, 253 nt
Filed under: uncultured bacterium
Lineage: Bacteria
Description: partial 16S ribosomal RNA
Rfam family: Bacterial small subunit ribosomal RNA
Source: RNAcentral